This 253-nucleotide ribosomal RNA is filed under the name uncultured bacterium. Its description in RNAcentral is "partial 16S ribosomal RNA". It matches the Rfam family "Bacterial small subunit ribosomal RNA", at positions 524 to 776 of the family's 1533-position model. The record is from RNAcentral.
UACGGAGGGAGCUAGCGUUGUUCGGAAUUACCGGGCGUAAAGCGCACGUAGGCGGCUAUUCAAGUCGGGGGUGAAAGCCCGGGGCUCAACCCCGGAACUGCCCUCGAAACUAGGUAGCUAGAAUCUUGGAGAGGCGAGUGGAAUUCCGAGUGUAGAGGUGAAAUUCGUAGAUAUUCGGAAGAACACCAGUGGCGAAGGCGACUCGCUGGACAAGUAUUGACGCUGAGGUGCGAAAGCGUGGGGAGCAAACAGG